UACGUAGGGUGCGAGCGUUGUCCGGAAUUAUUGGGCGUAAAGGGUGCGUAGGCGGCGCGGUAAGUCGGGUGUGAAAUCUUGGAGCUUAACUCCGAAACUGCAUUCGAUACUGCCGUGCUUGAGGACUGGAGAGGAGACUGGAAUUUACGGUGUAGCGGUGAAAUGCGUAGAUAUCGUAAGGAAGACCAGUGGCGAAGGCGGGUCUCUGGACAGUUCCUGACGCUGAGGCACGAAGGCCAGGGGAGCAAACGGG
Molecule: ribosomal RNA, 253 nt
Filed under: uncultured bacterium
Lineage: Bacteria
Description: partial 16S ribosomal RNA
Rfam family: Bacterial small subunit ribosomal RNA
Source: RNAcentral